This 296-nucleotide long non-coding RNA is filed under the name Elaeis guineensis (African oil palm). Its description in RNAcentral is "long non-coding RNA (EGUI_LNC001586)". Lineage: Eukaryota; Viridiplantae; Streptophyta; Magnoliopsida; Arecales; Arecaceae. The record is from RNAcentral.
GUUGGUCCGAGAAGUGCAGGAAGAUGACAAGAACGAUGGAAGUCGACCCGGAGGAUGCCUAAGGCUGAGAAGGAUGCUAAAGGAAGCUGGAGCUCUCGGAGAAGAGGAGGAGACCGAGGGAUUCUCUCAGGCAAAGUGAAACCCCUGAAGGAGGAGGACGUAUUUAAAUAGACCCCGGGAUCCGACGCAAUAAUGAGUGCGGAUCUUCUCUGACCGACCUACACUCGCCGCGUGUCCCACUCACCAUGGCAGGCGGCUAAAAAUGGCUGAUAGCUGACAAAAUCAUUAUUGCNNNN